This 512-nucleotide ribosomal RNA is filed under the name uncultured bacterium. Its description in RNAcentral is "bacterial SSU rRNA". It matches the Rfam family "Bacterial small subunit ribosomal RNA", at positions 28 to 526 of the family's 1533-position model. The record is from RNAcentral.
GACGAACGCUGGCGGCGUGCUUAACACAUGCAAGUGGAGCGACGAACCAGGGCUUGCCCUGGGGCCAAGCCGCGAACGGGUGAGUAACACGUGGGUAACCUGCCCCGAUGACCGGGACAACCCGAGGAAACUCGGGCUAAUACCGGAUGACUCCUUCGAGCUCAAGCUCAAAGGGAAAAGGAAGCUUCGGCCUCCGCAUUGGGAGGGGCCCGUGGCCCAUUAGCUUGUUGGUGAGGUAACGGCUCACCAAGGCUGCGAUGGGUAGCUGGUCUGAGAGGACGAUCAGCCACACUGGGACUGAGACACGGCCCAGACUCCUACGGGAGGCAGCAGUGGGGAAUCUUGCGCAAUGCGCGAAAGCGUGACGCAGCAACGCCGCGUGGGGGAAGAAGGCUCUCGGGUUGUAAACCCCUUUCAGGGAGGACGAAGGCAUGGCCGUUAAUAGCGGAUCAUGCUGACGGUACUCCCACAAGAAGCCCCGGCUAACUACGUGCCAGCCGCCGCAGUAACAC